Molecule: ribosomal RNA, 905 nt
Filed under: uncultured bacterium
Lineage: Bacteria
Description: bacterial SSU rRNA
Rfam family: Bacterial small subunit ribosomal RNA
Source: RNAcentral
AGAGUUUGAUCAUGGCUCAGGACGAACGCUGGCGGCGUGCCUAACACAUGCAAGUCUGGGAGAAUUGGGUAGCAAUAUCCAUAGUAAACCGGCGCACGGGUGAGUAAUAUAUAGGUAAUAUGCCUUUUGGUUUGGAAUAACUCCGCGAAAGCGGUGCUAAUACUGAAUGAUGCAGCAUCUCCGCAUGGGGAUGUUGUUAAAGCUUCGGCGCCAAGAGAUUAACCUGUAUCCCAUUAGAUAGUUGGCGAGGUAACGGCUCACCAAGUCUGCGAUGGGUAGCUGAUCUGAGAGGAUGAUCAGCCACACUGGAACUGAGACACGGUCCAGACUCCUACGGGAGGCAGCAGUGAGGAAUAUUGCGCAAUGGAGGAAACUCUGACGCAGCGACGCCGCGUGAAGGAUGAAGGCCCUCUGGGUCGUAAACUUCUGUAGAGAGGGAAGAAUUCCUCGCUUCGCGGGAUUGACGGUACCUCUAAAGUAAGGGUCGGCUAACUACGUGCCAGCAGCCGCGGUAAUACGUAGGACCCGAGCGUUGUCCGGAUUUACUGGGUGUAAAGGGAGCGCAGGCGGAUUUUCAAGUCGAUGGUGAAAUCUUGCGGCUCAACCGCAAAACAGCCGUCGAUACUGUUAAUCUUGAGUGUGGAAGAGAGUGGCGGAAUUCAUGGUGUAGCAGUGAAAUGCGUAGAUAUCAUGAAGAACACCGGUUGCGAAGGCGGCCACUUAGUCCAUUACUGACGCUCAUGCUCGAAAGCGUGGGGAUCAAACAGGAUUAGAUACCCUGGUAGUCCACGCCCUAAACGAUGAAUACUCGGUGUCGGGUCGCAAGAUUCGGCGCCUAAGCAAACGCAUUAAGUAUUCCACCUGGGAAGUACGAUCGCAAGGUUGAAACUCAAAGGAAUUGACGG